AUGGGGAAAUUGCAGAUGAGGUUGGAGGUUUUCACUGACAACAUCGUCAACAUGAUCACCAUAUUUCUCAUCAGUCACUUUAUCAGUCUUCUGGCUUCAGGUUCUUCUUCCACUGAACCUGUGAGCCAGACGCCACGAAACAUUCUCAGUAAACCAGGAGAACAAGCUGAAAUCUACUGCUCACACAGCAUUGACAGCUAUGACAGAAUCCUGUGGUACAAGCAGUCCCAGGGAGAGCUGCAGCUCCUCGGAUAUAUGUUUUUAAAAGAAGCCAAUCCAGAACCAGGACUGGACGUGAAGAUGCACGGAGAUGCAAACAAGAACAAGAACAGCACGUUAACCAUGGAGAAACUCCAAGUCAACAGCAGUGCAGUGUACUUCUGUGCAGCCAGUUACCACAGUGCUCCACAUCACUGCUCCUCAGUACUAAAACCUCCUCAUCAAACAUCAAACAUCCACUCACACCUGGAACUAACCAGCUGA
This is a non-coding RNA of Salarias fasciatus (jewelled blenny), 483 nucleotides long. The record is from the annotation of a RefSeq genome assembly. Lineage: Eukaryota; Metazoa; Chordata; Actinopteri; Blenniiformes; Blenniidae.